RNAcentral lists this small RNA (124 nucleotides) under Pararhizobium polonicum. RNAcentral's name for it is "Alphaproteobacterial ar14". It matches the Rfam family "Alphaproteobacterial ar14". Rfam says of the family: Smr14C2 was renamed NfeR1 (Nodule Formation Efficiency RNA) highly expressed in salt stress and during the symbiotic interaction on legume roots. The record is from Rfam by way of RNAcentral. Lineage: Bacteria; Pseudomonadati; Pseudomonadota; Alphaproteobacteria; Hyphomicrobiales; Rhizobiaceae.
CAACUUCGGGGCAGCGCACUCCUCCUCCCAGCGCGCCUCGAUGGGAUUGGCAACACUCCUCCUCCCAGUUGCCAAUCAGAACAAGCAACGCCCGUCGGACCUCCUCCCCUGACGGGCGUUGUUU